UCAGUAGGUGAGGGUGUCCCC
RNAcentral lists this non-coding RNA (21 nucleotides) under Arabidopsis thaliana (thale cress). Lineage: Eukaryota; Viridiplantae; Streptophyta; Magnoliopsida; Brassicales; Brassicaceae. The record is from RNAcentral.